RNAcentral lists this ribosomal RNA (406 nucleotides) under Platorchestia pacifica. RNAcentral describes it as "partial 16S ribosomal RNA". The record is from RNAcentral. Lineage: Eukaryota; Metazoa; Arthropoda; Malacostraca; Amphipoda; Talitridae.
UUUAUUGGAACUGGAUGAAAGGCUCAACAAACACAUAAUUUUUUAUUUUUAGAUGUUAUAAUUUUUAAUUUACGUAAAAAUACGUAAAUGAAUUUAAGGGACGAUAAGACCCUAAAAGCUUUAUUAUUUAAAUUUUUGUUAUUAUUUAGAUUUUAUUGUUUAAUGUAUUUUAACUGGGGCGGUUGUUUUUUUAACAAAAAUUUUUUUUACAAAUAGGAUUAAAGAUCCUUAAAAUUAGGAUAGAUUGUUUAAGUUACUUUAGGGAUAACAGCGUUAUAAUAAUAGGGAGACCUUAUUUAUAUUGUUGAUUGCGACCUCGAUGUUGAAUUAAAUUUUUCUAUAUAAAGCAGAAAUUAUAUAUGAAAGUUUGUUCAACUUUUAAAUUUUUACAUGAUCUGAGUUCAAA